CAGUCGCCGCGGGAAUACAGAGGGUGCGAGCGUUAAUCGGAUUUACUGGGCGUAAAGCGUGCGUAGGCGGCUAAUUGAGUCGGAUGUGAAAUCCCCGAGCUUAACUUGGGAAUUGCAUUCGAUACUGGUUAGCUAGAGUGUGGGAGAGGAUGGUAGAAUUCCAGGUGUAUCGGUGAAAUGCGUAGAGAUCUGGAGGAAUACCGAUGGCGAAGGCAGCCAUCUGGCCUAAUACUGACGCUGAGGUACGAAAGCAUGGGGAGCAAACAGGAUUAGAUACCCCCGUAGUCCCUGUCUCUUAUAC
Molecule: ribosomal RNA, 301 nt
Filed under: uncultured bacterium
Lineage: Bacteria
Description: partial 16S ribosomal RNA
Rfam family: Bacterial small subunit ribosomal RNA
Source: RNAcentral